UAGGGAAUCUUCGGCAAUGGGGGCAACCCUGACCGAGCAACGCCGCGUGAGUGAAGAAGGUUUUCGGAUCGUAAAGCUCUGUUGUAAGAGAAGAACGUGUGUGAGAGUGGAAAGUUCACACAGUGACGGUAACUUACCAGAAAGGGACGGCUAACUACGUGCCAGCAGCCGCGGUAAUACGUAGGUCCCGAGCGUUGUCCGGAUUUAUUGGGCGUAAAGCGAGCGCAGGCGGUUUAAUAAGUCUGAAGUUAACGGCAGUGGCUUAACCCUUGUUGGCUUUGGAGACUGUUAAACUUGAGUGCAGAAGGGGAGAGUGGAAUUCCAUGUGUAGCGGGGAAAUGCGUAGAUAUAUGGAGGAACACCGGUGGGGAAGGCGGCUCUCUGGUCUGUAACUGACGCUGAGGCUCGAAAGCGUGGGGAGCAAACAGG
This 429-nucleotide ribosomal RNA is filed under the name bacterium. RNAcentral's name for it is "partial 16S ribosomal RNA". It matches the Rfam family "Bacterial small subunit ribosomal RNA", at positions 355 to 776 of the family's 1533-position model. The record is from RNAcentral.